GCUGAUGACGUUUCACUUGGACAGACAACCACGCAUUGUUGUAUAUAUUUUUGCGUGUGUUAUUAUUAUUUUAUUAUUAUGAAAUUCGUGAACAUUAUUAUUGAGCCUUGGCAGUCUAUUUUGUAUUUGUUUUAUUGAGGAGAAAAAAAACAGACAAGAACGCAUAUUGUGUUGCGCCUGCGCUGUGACGUUCUUUUUUCAACCGCAUUUCCAGUCGAGAGGUCAAGAAUGCUCCUGUCUGCAUCAGGUAAGAAUUUAAAUAAAAAAUUACCGUUAUAAUAUGAUAUCUAUUUUUCAUUUAGUGUAAUAAACUUUAGCAUUAAUUGUGCAGGAGACUGUUCAUUUAAACUUUAUUGUGGUAACGUUAAAUGCUCGCUCGUUUUGCAAAGUUACGUUUGGAGAUUCAUGUUAACAGUCAUUGUUUAAUGAAAGGCACAUUGGACUACGGGUUAGUAUGUGUGACACUUGCAGCACUUUAACGUAAAUCUUUAACACCGUGUCCUAAAUAGACGUGACACGCGGUAACGGGUUUCUUUUCAGUUUAUGUCCUGACGUUAAUAGGACGGGAUAUUAUAAAUUAUGCCUUUCGAUUAUCGCGACGCCUCGUCGCGUUUGGUUAAGCACAUGGUGGAUCAGUAUGCACGUCACUGUACCUACUGUACACCUGUGAGCGGCAUGACGAGACAAAAGACGGUAAAACUCAUUAUUAUUCGGUGAUGCUGUAACAUACUGGAUGCACCACCACAUUUUAUAAUAAUGUUUUUUAUUUUCGUGUCGCGCCCUCGCGUUCAACAUAACGUAGUGGUCUAAAUGUAAGGAGUCAAACUUUACGAACCUUUCACUGCUUGCAGUAAGGCUGAAGUGCUAGGUAGUGAAUAAAAUGGGUGUAGUCUUGUGCUACUAGAUGUAAAUCACAAUUCUUGUGUCAAUGUUUGUUUGUAAUCUUUUUCAGCUAUCCAUCUGAAAAAGAAAAGCUGGCACUCGCAAAGGAGAUUGUGUUGUUGGAUUAUGGUCUCAUUUGGUCAAAAUGAGGGACAUGUACUUGGAUUUAUAAAAAUGAGACUACAGAAUAUCAGACGGAAGCUUCAAUGGAGUUGACGUGAGAGGCAAGGCCGCCUUAAUGCACGGGCUUACCUGGGCUGAAGCCCAUGGGGCCUCCCAAGUUCAAGGGCCUCCAAAGUUUGCGUUCAUGACGAGCUGAAAAUGUCAUUUUGUUUUGUAACUUGUCGGGUUUUCUGUCAAUCACUCUAAUUGCACGUUACAUGGCUGCUGAUUGGUCCGUUGUAACUUAACGUGAAAUAAAAUGUCAGACGUAACAUAUUUUUUAUUCCGCGUAAUGUAAUUAAGUGCGCGUUGUCAACUUGACAUUCCUGCACGUUAGACUGAGUGUGACAGAGAAACGGGAAAUAAUCCACCAACAAAUGAAAGAGUAAUUUCUGAAAUUUCAUAAUGAGCACUAGUGAGGUGCAGGUCUCUCUCUCUUUCGUGCGCGCGCUCGCUCGUUCGCUCUCUCUGUGCUCCUGCAGCUGUCUGAGUCUCUGGCAUGCAGAAGUCUCUCCCACCGUGCACAAGAAACUGUGCCGCUAAAUUAAGAAAGGAGUUCCCGCACAUAAUGCUGUUAGUUGUUAUAACGUUUAAGUUUACUCGCGUUUAUAUCAGUGACGCGUGCGCAGCUGGAGCGAUGUAGUUUGACGCGACGUCAGCUCACAGUACACACAUCUGUUGGUAGAAAGACGAGAAAGAGACGCAACGGUGAAGGUGCAAGUCUAAGAAAGUAAAGAGCGACAAAACCAUCUCAAAUGAUCAUCCCCUGAUAGCACCAUUAUAAUCUCAUUAUCUAAAGAUCUUAUAUACAGGUAUGUUCCCUGUCUGUCUUGUGCAUAUUCAUACUUGGUCGUUUUACAUGCUUAUGUAUGCAUAAAUACUAAAUACAAUGCAUACUAUAUCUUCAGUA
This is a non-coding RNA of Misgurnus anguillicaudatus (oriental weatherfish), 1954 nucleotides long. NCBI's taxonomy places the organism in Eukaryota, Metazoa, Chordata, Actinopteri, Cypriniformes, Cobitidae. The record is from RefSeq and is a predicted model, not a curated record.